CUGAAAGAGAGGAUGUUUAUCUUGGUCAUUGGGGAUGGGCCAUUACCAUUGUGACGUCGGCGCCCAUGGGUGCUCUCCCUUUUCAAAACGUUUUGAAAGACAAUGCAACCGUCCCAAUGGAAUAUUAUUGAAGCCCUGGUUGAAAAAGCCCCUAAAGAUUUAUGUUAUACAACGUUUGACAUGUUUGAACGAACUUAAAUAUAUAUUUUUUGCUCAUUCCUGACGACAAGUCAGACGCACACGGUACAUUUUCACUAGCCUUCGGAGCGCGCUAACACUAUUGGGACAUAAAUUAUUAACUUUUUUUAACAAAACUACAUUUGUUAUGGACCUGGGAUUCCUAGAAGUGCCUUCUGAUAAAGAUAAUCAAAGAUAGUGUCUGGGACGCACGAACAAAACGCCGCUAUUCGGAUAUAACGAUGGAUUAUUUUGGACCAAACCAACAUUUGUUAUUGAAGUAGCAGUCCUGGGAGUGCAUUCUGACGAAGACAACAAAAGAUCUGUGCCUCGACACAAUCCUGUCUCAGAGCUCUACGGACAAUUCCUUCAACCUCACGGCUUGGUUUUUGCUCUGACAUGCACUGUCAACUGUGGGACCUUAUAUAAACAGGUGUGUGCCUUUCCAAAUCAUGUCCAAUCAAUUGAAUUUACCACAGGUGGACUCCAAUCAAGUUGUAGAAACAGGUCAAGGAUGAUCAAUGGAAACAGGAUGGACCUGAGCUCAAUUACGAGUCUCAAAGCAAAGGCUCUGAAUACUUAUGUAAAUAAGGUAUUUCUUUUAUUAAAUGUUUUAAAAUUUGCACAAAAAUGAUUUGAUCCAUUUUAGAAUAAGGCUGUAACGUAACAAAAUGUGGAAGAAGUCAAGGGGUCUGAAUACUUUCCGAAGGCAUUGUAUAGAGAAAGCAGUGGAGGCUGCUGAGGGGAGGACGGCUCACAAUAAUGCCAGGAACAGAGGAAAUGGAAUGGCAUCAAACACAUAGAGGCCAUGUGUUUGUUAUAUUUAAAACCAUUCGUCUUAUUCUGCUCCAGCCAUUACCACAAGCCUGUCCUCCCCAAUUAAGGUACCACCAACCUUCUGUGAUAGAGGUUAGUGGGAGAUAAAUUACAGUCAUUAUUUUUUUUCUCCUCCCUCUUUGUUGAAUGACAUUGAUAUGAGUUUGUUCUGUCGUGGUUAAGGAAACAAGUGGAUCAUGUUCUUAAAGUAUUUCUAAAGUAUUAUAAUCAGUCUACUGUAUGUAUUAUUAUUACUGUUGUCAAACCAAUGCUAAGGAUCUUACAUGGUUUAAUACCAAAACAAUUGCGUUAGUGCCAGCUGCACAUGUGAUAUUACAUUGAAUGUGGAGAGGUGACACAAAGGUCACAAAGUAACAGUACUUUAGUAACAGGCUUUAGAUUUAAAAAAAUGUUGCAUAGUUUGGAUUACUUGUAAGGGCACCUUGAUUAAGGGGAACAUUGUCUCUAUGGCAGAAUGCCAAAAUGAUUAUGAUUUAUUCAAUGGAUUAUAUAUUCUUUAUUGAAAAACACUGCAUGUUGAUGAUCUAUUCACAAGGGUGAUUUUGUUCAUUUCAAGGGGAAUAAUUUGAAAUUACAAAGAACCAGAAGACCCCCUAGAUAGAUAUAUGUCUGCAGGGUUGUAUUGUGAAGUCAAUAUAAAACCAGGUUUGGGUCAAUUUGGAAUUUCUGGAUUUAAUUCAAUUCAAACAAUGAUUCUUAAUUGAAUUUGAAUUGGCCACACCCCACAACAAGCAUAAUUUGAACUGAAUUUGAAUUGAAGGUAGUAGAAUUUAAUUCAAUCCAAUUCAAACCAAUUCAACUGAGAAGUGAAACUUAACAUUUUCAUUAAUUUGACAAAUCUUUUAUCAAAAGGAUAUGAUCCAUUAAUGCAAAGAAUACAAAUACUAUACCACUCAAAAAUGUCAAACAGUAUUUUUCUUUGUCACGAGAUGGGUUGUUCCACAAAAUAAGUGCCUUUUGCAUCCCUUUGAUAUUUUAAGUAGAAAUUGUGCACCAAUAUUACAUUACCCAAAUCUAACUGCCUGUAGCUCAGGACUUGAAGCAAGGAUAUGCAUAUUCUUAAUACCAUUUGAAAGGAAACACUUUGAAGUUUGUGGAAAUGUGAAAUGAAUGUAGGAGAAUAUUACACAUUUGAUCUGGUAAAAGAUAAUACCAAGAAAAAAAACAUGUUUAUAUAUAUUUUUUCUUUCAUCAUCUUUGAAAUGCAAGAGAAAGGUCACAAUGUAUUAUUCCAGUUCAGAAGCUAUUUAGAUUUUGGCCACUAGAUGGCAGCAGUGUAUGCGCAAUGCUUUAGACUUAUCCAAUGAACCAUUGCAUUUCUGUUCAAAAUGUUGUAUCAAGUCUGCCCAAAUGUGCC
RNAcentral lists this long non-coding RNA (2371 nucleotides) under Salmo salar (Atlantic salmon). RNAcentral describes it as "lncRNA (ENSSSAG00000095922.1)". Lineage: Eukaryota; Metazoa; Chordata; Actinopteri; Salmoniformes; Salmonidae. The record is from RNAcentral.